AUUGAACGCUGGCGGCAGGCCUAACACAUGCAAGUCGAGCGAGCGGCGGACGGGUGAGUAAUGUAUGGGGACUGCCCGAUAGAGGGGGAUAACUACUGGAAACGGUGGCUAAUACCGCAUACUAUCGGAUAACCCAUAUGUGAUUAGCUAGUAGGUGGGGUAAAGGCUCACCUAGGCGACGAUCUCUAGCUGGUCUGAGAGGAUGACCAGCCACACCGGGACGGGGACACGGCCCGUACGCCUACGGUGGGAGCAGUGGGAAAUACUGCACAGUGGGCGCAAGGCUGAUUCAUCCAUGCCGCGUGUAUGAAGGAGGCCUUAGGGUUGUAAAGUACUGUCAGCGGGGAGGCGUUACCCGCAGAAGAAGCACCGGCUAACUCCGUGCCAGCAGCCGCGGUAAUUC
Molecule: ribosomal RNA, 403 nt
Filed under: uncultured bacterium
Lineage: Bacteria
Description: partial 16S ribosomal RNA
Rfam family: Bacterial small subunit ribosomal RNA
Source: RNAcentral